Amborella trichopoda is the source of this 520-nucleotide non-coding RNA. The record is from RefSeq and is a predicted model, not a curated record. Lineage: Eukaryota; Viridiplantae; Streptophyta; Magnoliopsida; Amborellales; Amborellaceae.
UAUUAUGGUAGGAGAAAAUCUGAAACGACUGAACCAAAGAUCCAAAAUUGACGAGAACUGUUACCAAUCAAGAACCCAACAUCUGCAACAAAAUUUGGGGGCCAGUAUGUAGGGUGAUGCAUGUCGAGCCGUGCAUAAGUUUGUGCUUUGGGGCCCCAGGCUAGAGCGGCAAGCUUCCUAAGUUGAAAUCUCGGAGGAGCCUGCUUAAUCGGCUUCAUAGAUAGGUCGAUAUCAAGCUUGUGAGUAGCAACUUUGGGAUCUAACCCAGACAUUUGAUCUAACUCAGACAUUUUAACUUUUUUCUUCACAGAUUUGUUAUAGAUAACCUUCUCGAAGGUGAGGAACACUUUUAUCAGAGAAUCACAAUUCUCAACAACCAUAUUGAGCAACUAAUAGACAUUUCUGCAUAUGAAGUUAAACAAAUUAUGGAGAAGAUUGAAACAACAAAGCGUUGCAUGUGUUUUGACUGAUGAGAGCACUACAUGAACUAAGAUUUACCUUUGACAUUCUCUCUCUCUCU